This 425-nucleotide ribosomal RNA is filed under the name uncultured bacterium. Its description in RNAcentral is "partial 16S ribosomal RNA". It matches the Rfam family "Bacterial small subunit ribosomal RNA", at positions 354 to 796 of the family's 1533-position model. The record is from RNAcentral.
GUGGGGAAUAUUGGACAAUGGGGGCAACCCUGAUCCAGCAAUGCCGCGUGAGUGAAGAAGGCCUUCGGGUUGUAAAGCUCUUUUACCAGGGAAGAUGAUGACGGUACCUGGGGAAUAAGCUCCGGCUAACUUCGUGCCAGCAGCCGCGGUAAUACGAAGGGAGCUAGCGUUGUUCGGAAUUACUGGGCGUAAUGGGCGCGUAGGCGGCUCUGUAAGUCAGAUGUGAAAGCCCCGGGCUUAACCUGGGAACUGUAGUUGAUACUGCAGAGCUAGAGAUCGAGAGAGGAAAGUGGAAUUACGAGUGUAGAAGUGAAAUUCGUAGAUAUUCGUAGGAACACCAGUGGCGAAGGCGACUUUCUGGCUCGAUACUGACGCUAAAGCGCGAACGCGUGGUGCGCAAACACGCUUAGAAACCCCGGUAGUCC